This 253-nucleotide ribosomal RNA is filed under the name uncultured bacterium. Its description in RNAcentral is "partial 16S ribosomal RNA". It matches the Rfam family "Bacterial small subunit ribosomal RNA", at positions 524 to 776 of the family's 1533-position model. The record is from RNAcentral.
UACGGAGGGGGCUAGCGUUGUUCGGAAUUACUGGGCGUAAAGCGCGCGUAGGCGGCUUUGUAAGUUAGAGGUGAAAGCCCGGAGCUCAACUCCGGAAUUGCCUUUAAGACUGCAUCGCUAGAAUCAUGGAGAGGUUAGUGGAAUUCCGAGUGUAGAGGUGAAAUUCGUAGAUAUUCGGAAGAACACCAGUGGCGAAGUCGACUAACUUGACAUGUAUUGACGCUGAGGUGCGAAAGCGUGGGGAGCAAACAGG